This 292-nucleotide ribosomal RNA is filed under the name uncultured bacterium. Its description in RNAcentral is "partial 16S ribosomal RNA". It matches the Rfam family "Bacterial small subunit ribosomal RNA", at positions 505 to 796 of the family's 1533-position model. The record is from RNAcentral.
GUGUCAGCCGCCGCGGUAAUACGUAGGUGGCAAGCGUUGUCCGGAUUUAUUGGGCGUACAGGGCGCGCAGGCGGUUCGUUAGGUUCGAGGUGAAAUCUCUUGGCUCAACUGGGAGAGGUCUUCGGAUACCGGCGGACUUGAGGAGAGCAGAGGUGAGUGGAAUUCUGGGUGUAGUGGUGAAAUGCGUAGAUAUCCAGAGGAACACCAGUGGCGAAGGCGACUCACUGGGCUCCACCUGACGCUGAGGCGCGAAAGCGUGGGGAGCGAACCGGAUUAGAAACCCGUGUAGUCC